GUACUCGCUGCAGUUGGCACAUAUACUAAAAUUGGAAUGAUACGGAGAAGAUUAGUAUGGCCCCUGUGCAAGGAUGACACAAAUUAGUGAAACGUUCCAUAAUGAA
Molecule: small nuclear RNA, 106 nt
Organism: Cercocebus atys (sooty mangabey)
Lineage: Eukaryota; Metazoa; Chordata; Mammalia; Primates; Cercopithecidae
Source: Ensembl